UUGCGCUCCUUGGGGACCAGAGGCUUGGCAGCCCUUGCCACCCCAGCAUUUUGGCCAGUGGCGGGCAGUGGGGCAGGCCCAGCGCUGAACAUGGGCACUUCCCUGGGGACAGACAGUGACAUGGGGCCACCGUGGGUCCCCUUGGUGGGGCCUAUGGCUGUGGGGAGCUGGAGUCCAACUCUGUUGUGGCCUCACCGGGCAGAGCUGGCAGCCCCACAGCUGACAUGGGAUCCUGGGCCUGGUCAGGUAGGGGAACCCCAGGGGACAGGGACAGGCAGGGCUAUUGGUGCCCUCAGGGCCCUGGCAACAUUUGACAUCAGAUUCUGCAGCAAAGAUACCCAUUCCAGGAACAGACAGGUGGAUUUGCUCCCUAACAGACAUCUCCACAACCUCCCAGGAGGUGAUGUGACAAAUGCAGGAGUCAGGUGACUACAUGGUAGAUAUUUGGGCAAAGAAGGAAAAAAGGUUUCCUGUCUGAUUAGAGCAUUGUUCUGCUGCAGAUCUCUUCUUAUGUUUUGUCAAGGGCACAAAAGUCGGGUCUUGAGGAAGGUCAUGGCAAAAAAUGAAUAACUGCAUCUUCUCCUACAUACAUACCAUUGCUUCAGAAACAUUCCCACUGCCUUUUCCAGUGCAAAAUCUUCCAGCAGCCUCAUGAGGAGAGGAUAGAGUGGUUCACAGGCUCCUUCAGAUUAUUAUUCCCUGGGAGAAGAUACAUCUCAAGCAGGAAUAUAAACAACACUUCAGGUUACCGUUUCUCAAAGGGAACCCUCACAAUGGCACCAAGGCUAAGCCAGCCUUGCAUCAUUCAUGCACAGUUCUGAUAUCUGUCACUAAGAGCCAGGAGUCCUGCAGUGUGAGCAAGAUUUAUCCAAUAAAAACAGCAUUCAAUAUGCACAUCUUUUUCAGACUAACGUAGCUAUCCUAUUAUUUACUCAACUAAUGAUUUGGUCUGUCACGUUUGGGGAAGGUAGAUCUUAAUUCUAGGAAGAAGCAAGCUUAACAGCUUCUGUUGCUUAGAAGUGAAACAAACAAACCACUCUUUAUCAGUGACUGAUUUAUCAUGGAACAGUGGGAAACACAGGGAACAAGAGAGAUUGAAAACAUUCAUCAAAACCUCUGGCACAUUCAUAUGAGUGAAUGGUGAUUAUGAACCACUGCAGGCCUGCAUUGUCCCUACCUGCAUCCCCACAUCAAAUAGCAUGUUGUUUAUGCACUGCUGAUUUGGUGAUAUCUCGAUUAUUCCACAUGCUUUAUUUCAGCAUCACUUCAAAUUUAGUCCUUUGGAGCAGGAACAGUCUUAUUGACUAGCAAACAGCUGGAUGCUUGAUGGCUGUUCAGAGAAUACUGCUUCUGCUGGAUGUGUUAAUAUGCCUUCAUGCCUCAGUGUUUGGACCCCAAAGGACUGGGGUUUUAGAGCAUUGCUACACUUGCAAAACUGGAAAUGCUUUCACGGUUUGGCUGUUUGCCUAUCUUUAGACCUCAGUCACUUUAUUUGAUACCUAUCUAGCAUAUAGGAAAGAUCUCACCCACACCAGCUGAGCUCUGCAAAAACGUGAUUUCAGCAGGCAAGGCAGAAGUGGCUGGAACAGCCUGGUGAGAAUGUCUCACGCACAGCCAGCAACUGUCAGAGUGCAGCAGCAGGCAGCCCUGCCAGGGAGCUCGGCCAAGCCGCAGUCUGGUCUGAAAGAGGGCAGGGGAGACACAGCCGCCUGUGGGGCUCUUCCUCUGUGCAAUGAAUUGGUUUUGUCUCGCUGCUGUGAAGCAACACUUGUCUUUAAAGGACUGCUUUCUACAGACUUCAUGUAAGCCCACAGUUCAUGCCUCAUUUCAUCAGGAUGAAGAAGUGUAAGAGAUUCAUGUUGUAAGUUUGCUUACAAAAUUCCACGACUUUAAAUAA
Long non-coding RNA from Numida meleagris (helmeted guineafowl), 1897 nucleotides. RefSeq lists it as uncharacterized. The transcript has 3 exons. The record is from RefSeq and is a predicted model, not a curated record. NCBI's taxonomy places the organism in Eukaryota, Metazoa, Chordata, Aves, Galliformes, Numididae.